Molecule: ribosomal RNA, 256 nt
Filed under: uncultured archaeon
Lineage: Archaea
Description: partial 16S ribosomal RNA
Rfam family: Archaeal small subunit ribosomal RNA
Source: RNAcentral
AUUAGACUACCCCCGUAGUCCCAGCCGUAAACUAUGCUCGCUAGGUGUCAGGCAUGGCGCGACCGUGUCUGGUGCCGCAGGGAAGCCGUGAAGCGAGCCACCUGGGAAGUACGGCCGCAAGGCUGAAACUUAAAGGAAUUGGCGGGGGAGCACAACAACGGGUGGAGCCUGCGGUUUAAUUGGACUCAACGCCGGACAACUCACCGGGGACGACAGCAAUAUGUAGGCCAGGCUGAAGACCUUGCCUGAAUCGCUG